ACUUAAUCUCCUUUGAUGAGGCCAAACAUUCACCAAACAUCGAAGGCAAACAUGUAAGAGUCAUCUUUAACUUCUUGCCCUCAGCUCUAAUCAUCAAAGCCUGACAAUGUUACCAAGUUACCCCCCUCUCCCUUGUCUGCCUUCUAACUUUACCACCAUGACUUCAGUCUUAGCCUUCAACAUCCCUUCCCCUAGGGAAAAUACAAUAACUAUCCCAGAAAAUGCUCUACAGUACCAAGAGUAACUUUUAUAAAACAUAAAUCUGACCGUGGCAUUCAUCAGAUUAAGCCCUUCAAUGACUCCUGGUUGCAUCAGAGACCACCCUACCCCAUCAUAAUUAUUUGUUAUGUGUCUGAACUCUAUUUGGUUUGGAGCUGCUUGAGAUCAGAGGCUGUGCUGUGCUGGCUGUUUCAUCUCCAGCUCCCAGCAGAGCGACCGCCCGCACAUCUGCCGAACUGAAGUGGACUGAAUGGUGCUGUCUCCUCUGCUUCCACUCAAAUCAGUUUUUUUGCAAGGUUCAAGUGUCAGGGUCAAUACUUCUCCUCCUGUUAAAAAAUCAGACCUAAAAUAACUAACUCUAUCCAAAAAGAUGUAGUCCUGAAGUAUGAGAAGAUCAUAUGGCAGAGUUCCACACAGAGUAUUCAGUUGAGUGAAUGUGUUAAUGAAAGAAAUGAAUGAAGAUACGGUCCAGGGAAUGGAGCCCCCAACACAACGCAGCAAGGAAGAUUACAGUGGCAAGUGCACAGGAUCUGGACGCCCAAGACCUUGUUCCAAAUCCCAGCUCUGCCAUUCAUGUUCCAUGAGGUCUUGGAAAAAACCUCUGGCCUCCUAUCUGUCAAAUAAAGAGCAACAGCACUAAACCCAAGGCUGAUAGGAAGACAGGUUCCAGCAUCCGGGCCCGGGGACAGGGUCACAAUUACUUUAAAGCAAUUUAAGUGGCCCUGCAAGAAACUUUCUACCAUGGGCAGAAGGCAAGUCCAGAAGCCGUAAUGGCUGAGGGGGCCUGACUAACAGUGGCUCUCGGGUACCCAUGUCCACAGACCCCCUCUGCUGGCACAGAUAAAGCUCUUCCUACAUCUCUGCUGAGGCAGGUGCCAGAGAAAUAAGCAACCUGACCCCCUGAAGAGUCUUUGGAGCCUGGCAGUAACCUGAGCUGCUCUGGGUUAUUUUUGCUGAGAGCUAGUGGUUCUUAAAGGGACUGUGUUCUAAGUGCAUACGUCCAGACACAGAAUGCCAACCAGUGAAAAGACCAAUGUGACGAACCUAUCUUAAUCAAACAUUGUUGAUCGAAAGGCUGUAACAAAUCAGUGAGAAGACAUGUGAGCAAUAUUUUAAAGGGAUCAAUCGUAAUAUGCUGUGAUACAACAUCAUUGGUUUAAAAAAAUGGUAAUGCUGAAUAACCCAAAACCGCAUUGGUUCCAAUUGUAACAAGAAAGCAGGCAUUCCCCAAGGCUCUGUCCUCAGUGCUGGACUGCCACUCAAGUCUGGGAACAGAGACUGGAGAGGGAGAUGGUUGCCGACACUGUGCCUUGACAGUUACCACCCUGUUUCGAUGCUCGCUAUGCCCUUGCAAGUAUAAUAAUCGGAGGAAAAAGAAAGUGGAGCUCGGCGAGCCUUCAUCACUCACUCAGAAGUUACAUAAUGGCUGAUUGCGGGCCCCUUCCACCUUCUACCUGAAAGGCGAAGAUUCCGAAAGCGAACACCCCAUUCAAAAACAAUUCUCGAGAAACAACUAGUCCUUUCAUUCCUUGCCCCACAUCCCCAAACUGGCCCAGGAAGAACAAGAAUAAUCCAGUAACUAGGAAAGUGGGAUCUGGAGUCACAAGCACUCAGAUUUGUAAACCUAGUCCACCGCAAAUUCGCCGGGUGAUCUUGGUCAAGUCAGUUACAGUUCCCGAGCCUCAGUGGCAGUAACAGCAACACCGACAUCAUCAGACUGUUUGGGAGAUUAAAUAAGAUCAUCGUGUGUGUAUUGUACGUGGAAGGGUGCCUACACAUGGAACCCUUCAGGUAAACAGUUGCUAUUAUUAGUUGUAUUAGUAUUCCUAUUCGGCAAGUGUGUAAUUCAAGUUGCCUUGAUAUUUGGCAAUGUCUAAUCAUAAGAAAAAGAAUGUAUCAGCUGGUUGUUGGGCAGGUACUUUACAGACAUGAUCUCCAGUGCUCACAAAGUUUGCCAGGCAAGUAAUUCUACUCCCCUUUGCACAUGAGGGACAUGAGGCUCACAGAGGUAGCGUAACUUGCCCGAGUUACAACGAGUAAGUGACAGAGCAGGGAUUUUAACUCGGUUCUGACUUCAAAGCCUGUAUUCCUUUCACUCAGUUGAGAAAUAGUCAGGGAACAGCAUGGAGAGUAGAGGGAAGAACUCUCAGGAAUAAGAACCUGUUCCUCAGAUCAGUCACAUAACCUCUCAACCAGUUUCCCCUUCCUGAUAUGAAUGUUUUUGUUGUUUGGUCUUAUCACUGCAGCAAGGGACCCAUCCAGCGUCGAUCUACAGGUAAUUCUACAGAGAAUAAUAAAGUUUUCUGUAAACCUAUUAAAACUAUAUUAAGUGUUCAUUUCUGAGCCACAAAUCUUUAUAAAUUCGUAAGCUCCAUAUAAUAUAAAUCAUGGAAAAAACACACAAAUGCUUAACAUUUUACAGUUCACGAAGCAUUUUCACAAACAUUAGCUCAUGUAAUCAACUUACUCGGCAAGGUGGCUAUGUGCCUGGUUCUCAAGUAAAGAAACUGAGGCACAGGUUAAACUAAUUGCCUACA
This is a long non-coding RNA of Felis catus (domestic cat), 2756 nucleotides long. RefSeq lists it as uncharacterized. Lineage: Eukaryota; Metazoa; Chordata; Mammalia; Carnivora; Felidae. The transcript has 3 exons. The record is from RefSeq and is a predicted model, not a curated record.